This 107-nucleotide transfer RNA is filed under the name Nocardia speluncae. Its description in RNAcentral is "tRNA-Trp". Lineage: Bacteria; Bacillati; Actinomycetota; Actinomycetes; Mycobacteriales; Nocardiaceae. The record is from RNAcentral.
GCACCGGUGGCCUGGAAAUGGUCGAGACUGCGUCGAUACCAUGUCGAGGUCGCCGCGGCGUUCGGCGAGGAAACCGCGGAUCUUCCAGCCGAUUCCCGCCCGGUGCG